Molecule: long non-coding RNA, 1539 nt
Organism: Helianthus annuus (common sunflower)
Lineage: Eukaryota; Viridiplantae; Streptophyta; Magnoliopsida; Asterales; Asteraceae
Exons: 9
Source: RefSeq, a predicted model, not a curated record
UUUGAUUGUACCGCCUUUGGCUUUUAUUGGCUUUUAUUGGCUUUUAUUGUACAUCCGUUUCAAAACCAAUGCUCCAUCCUCCAAUCCAUCACCAUCUUCAAUUGAAUACUAGCAAUCAAAAUCGAUGAAGGAGGAUUGGUAUCAAGAACCAUAGAUCUAUUAAUAAUUAUGUAUUCCUCUGUUUCUUCAUCGAUUUUUUUCCUUAUUUUGAUAUAUGUAAUGCGUAAUCCUACUCAUUGAUGUCCUGAACGAUUAGGGUUUUACUUCUCUCUUGAGUCGGUUGCUGCAAGGAGGAUUGGUAUCAAAAACCACUCCCUCAAAGAGAUUGAGCGCCAAUUCCAUUACAGCCGUUUCCUUUUCUCGCUAGACCUCACAUCCGUUGCUGGUGAUGCCGUUUUGAUGUCUAAAAAGCUUUUCACUGGUGGCUAGGGUUUGUAUGGUCCAAGAACGGUCCCUUUCUUUUCUAGAAUGUUAAUUAAUCAGGGUUGUUUUUGAAGCCCUAGAUAUCGCAUGCAUCUUACUUCUGGUUGAAGCCUCUUAAAUCUAAACAUUCAAGCAUCAGUUUUGUCGGACACCAAUCCCUAAUAAUCAACGCUGACGCUGGUCUCUUAGAACAUUCGGCGGAUGCGAAUAUGCAAGGACAAAGACGCGAAGCCUCAAGUGUGGUUAUCGGCAAUUAUAUCGCAAAGAGGAGUCUACUUGAUGUUGUUUUGGUUGUCUCCUACGAUUGUAGCGUGUGUGACAUCUUAUACAUGUUAUUACAUUGGAAUUCCGCUUGAUGCCACCAAUGCAUUCACGUUUCUCGCAACGAUUCAGAUCAUUCAAGAGCCAAUUCAUCUUAUUGCUGAUACUGCAUCCGUGUUAAUAGAAGCAAGGGUGGCACUAACACGUAUUCUUAAUUUUUUGGAGACACCCGAGUUGCAAAAAGAACAAAAGAAGCAUGUAAAUGUCUGACACCAAUCGCUAAUAAUCAACGCUGACGCUGAUCUCUUAGAACAUUUGACGGAUAUAUGCAUAGAGUAUUCUUCGGCAACGGAGUUGGUAAUAUGCUGGUGAUUGCCGCUCCAAUGACUUGCUGGGAGUGUGAAUUCUGUUUCUUAAAAAGUUGUUGAAUCAACAUGAGUUAUCAGCAAUGCAGGUCAAGUGGUCAAGUUUCUGAUGUUGCAGCCAUUAAUGUCUAUGCGACCGUUAAUGCCAAGUUUGGAAGCAGCCGCGAUUGUCGAAACUCGCGGUUUGCCUAUUGAUUUGCUCACAAAAAGUUUGAAUUGUAUUACGGUGGGGACAAGUCUGAAUCGUAGUAAUGCUUGGUGAUAAUGGCAUUGGGAAGACAACGUUUAUGCAUAUGCUGGUUAAAGUUGGCAAUUCUCCUACAUACAUACAGGUUAGAAAGAAAACUUGGUAAAGGAGGCUUUGGUCAAGUUUAUGUAGGAAGAAAGGUGAUUGGUAGUUUGGGAAACACAGGCCCUGUUGAGGUUGCUUUGAAAUUGGAGCAUAGAAAUGGCAAGGGAUGUGGUUAUUGUUCUCCAUAUAAGUGGCAAG